This 253-nucleotide ribosomal RNA is filed under the name uncultured bacterium. RNAcentral describes it as "partial 16S ribosomal RNA". It matches the Rfam family "Bacterial small subunit ribosomal RNA", at positions 524 to 776 of the family's 1533-position model. The record is from RNAcentral.
UACGUAGGGGGCUAGCGUUGUCCGGAAUCAUUGGGCGUAAAGAGCGUGUAGGCGGCCCGGUAAGUCCGCUGUAAAAGUCAAAGGCUCAACCUUUGAAUGUCAGUGGAUACUGCCGGGCUAGAGUCCGGAAGAGGCGAGUGGAACUCCUGGUGUAGCGGUGGAAUGCGCAGAUAUCAGGAAGAACACCAACGGCGAAGGCAGCUCGCUAGGACGGUACUGACGCUGAGACGCGAAAGCGUGGGGAGCAAACAGG